GACAGGUGGUGCAUGGUUGUCGUCAGCUCGUGUCGUGAGAUGUUGGGUUAAGUCCCGCAACGAGCGCAACCCUUGAUUUUAGUUGCCAGCAUUUAGUUGGGCACUCUAAAGUGACUGCCGGUGCAAGCCGGAGGAAGGUGGGGAUGACGUCAAAUCAUCAUGCCCCUUAUGACCUGGGCUACACACGUGCUACAAUGGAUAGUACAAAGGGUCGCGAAGCCGCGAGGUGGAGCUAAUCCCAUAAAACUAUUCUCAGUUCGGAUUGUAGGCUGCAACUCGCCUACAUGAAGCCGGAAUCGCUAGUAAUCGUGGAUCAGCAUGCCACGGUGAAUACGUUCCCGGGCCUUGUACACACCGCCCGUCACACCACGAGAGUUUGUAACACCCGAAGUCGGUAGGGUAACCUUUAUGGAGCCAGCCGCCGAAGGUGGGACAGAUAAUUGGGGUGAAGUCGUAACAAGGUAGCCGUAUCGGAAGGUGCGGCUGGAUCACCUCCUUU
This 499-nucleotide ribosomal RNA is filed under the name Listeria monocytogenes. RNAcentral describes it as "bacterial SSU rRNA". It matches the Rfam family "Bacterial small subunit ribosomal RNA", at positions 1033 to 1533 of the family's 1533-position model. Lineage: Bacteria; Bacillati; Bacillota; Bacilli; Caryophanales; Listeriaceae. The record is from RNAcentral.